AGAGUUUGAUCCUGGCUCAGGAUGAACGCUAGCGGCAGGCCUAAUACAUGCAAGUCGAACGGGCCAGCAAUGGUCAGUGGCGCACGGGUGCGUAACGCGUAUGCAACCUACCUUCUACUGGGGGAUAGCCUUCCGAAAGGAAGAUUAAUACCGCAUAACAUCACAUGAGGGCAUCUGAGUGUGAUCAAAGAUUUAUUGGUAGAAGAUGGGCAUGCGUGACAUUAGCUAGUUGGUGCAGGUAACGGCUCACCAAGGCUACGAUGUCUAGGGGUUCUGAGAGGAUGAUCCCCCACACUGGUACUGAGAUACGGACCAGACUCCUACGGGAGGCAGCAGUAGGGAAUAUUGGGCAAUGGGCGAAAGCCUGACCCAGCCAUGCCGCGUGCAGGAUGAAGGCCUUCUGGGUUGUAAACUGCUUUUAUCAGGGAAGAAAAAGCUCCUGCGGGAGCAACUGACGAUACCUGAGGAAUAAGCACCGGCUAACUCCGUGCCAGCAGCCGCGGUAAUACGGAGGGUGCAAGCGUUGUCCGGAUUUAUUGGGUUUAAAGGGUGCGUAGGCGGCCUUUUAAGUCAGUGGUGAAAGCCCAUAGCUCAACUAUGGAACUGCCAUUGAUACUGAAAGGCUUGAGUACAGACGAGGUUGGCGGAAUGGAUGGUGUAGCGGUGAAAUGCAUAGAUACCAUCCAGAACACCGAUUGCGAAGGCAGUCAGCUAAACUGGCACUGACGCUGAGGCACGAAAGCGUGGGGAUCAAACAGGAUUAGAUACCCCCGUAGUCC
This 779-nucleotide ribosomal RNA is filed under the name uncultured Adhaeribacter sp. Its description in RNAcentral is "bacterial SSU rRNA". It matches the Rfam family "Bacterial small subunit ribosomal RNA", at positions 8 to 796 of the family's 1533-position model. Lineage: Bacteria; Pseudomonadati; Bacteroidota; Cytophagia; Cytophagales; Hymenobacteraceae. The record is from RNAcentral.